GUGCUUGUUUUGGCAGCACAUAUAGUAAAGUUGGAUUGAUAAAGAGAAGAUUAGAAUGUCCCCUGCGCAAGCAUGACAUGUAAACUUGUGAAGCAUUCCAUAUUUUU
This is a small nuclear RNA of Protopterus annectens (West African lungfish), 107 nucleotides long. Lineage: Eukaryota; Metazoa; Chordata; Ceratodontiformes; Protopteridae. The record is from RefSeq and is a predicted model, not a curated record.